Molecule: long non-coding RNA, 1559 nt
Filed under: Prunus dulcis (almond)
Lineage: Eukaryota; Viridiplantae; Streptophyta; Magnoliopsida; Rosales; Rosaceae
Description: sRNA ncRNA
Rfam family: MIR390 microRNA precursor family (bases 74-171)
Source: RNAcentral
AAGCAUUUAAGUUACUCUGCUGCCUCUUUUUACCAAAAGGGCUAAAAGGCAUCUUCUUGGUUUUUAAACAGUAUGGAAGAAUCUGUUAAGCUCAGGAGGGAUAGCGCCAUUCUUGGUUUGGUUUUAGACCAUGUAUUGCGCUAUCCAUCCUGAGUUUCAUGGCUUCUUCUUGCUCUCUCUCUCUCUCUCUCUCUCUCUCUCUUCUUUGCAGCCAAGCCAAGGGAUUGAAACUUGUGGCCUUGUAAGUAUAUAUGCUGCUUAAAAGAUGAAACAUCUGCAGAAUCAGUUUGGUUUUAUGUUAAUUUUGUGCUUUGCUAGCUGUUUGUUUAAAAUGAUGAGGCCAGUUGGUUUUGGAGUUCAUUUUUCUCUGUUCCUUUACAACAAUCUUGCUCAGUUUAAAUCUCUCUUUGUUUAGAAGCUACAUCUUUCUUGAAGCUUACCCAGAACCAGAAGGAAAAAAACUAAUUUUCUCACAUUUGCUUGGUUUCCUUGUAUAACCCAUUGUGAGCCUUUAAAAGUAGAUAAAAAUAUACCAAAAGAAGACAUGAGAUAUUGAAGAACUUAUCCAUAGUCACAUGUUAAGGUGGGGCGAAGGAUGUUGACCACUUCCAACCUGGUGAUGUUAUAAGUCAGGGUCUCAGAUAUUUCUCUUUCAUUUACCUGAACUUUAGCUAAAAGGUUGGUCCAUGUUCGUACGUUUAGAUAUUAUUAUUUUUCCAUUUCAGGUAAAAAUAGUUUCCACUUCCUUUGCUUGCUGCUUCCACCAAAAUAUCAUUCAUUUACUCAUCACUUGCUUUAAUUUUUAUUUUAUUUUCCACCUUUUCUUUCAAAGGAUUCUGUUUUUCCUAUGUUGGAAUUUUGUGUAUCUUUGGCUAAAACUGCUCUUCACAUUUAGAAAUCAGAAAAUUGCUUUUUGUGCAAAUAGAGACUUGCCAGGUAGCUUUUGGUUUUCCUAAUCAAAUAGAGAGCUGUGGUGCUGUGUUGGGUUAAAAACUGCAAUGUCAUUACUAAUUGUUGUGUUAUUUGUCUCAAAACAUCGAAGGGUUAUCUACUUUGGGCUCAAUGAUUGCAGGUUGUUGCAAUAUCGGGAAUGAAUGAGAGGAUUGAGAUGAGGGCCAACCAUGAGUAGAAUUAGUUGCCAAGGCUCUUUGGUCAAGCAGAUUUUUACCCUGUGAAACACUUACAUGAAACGAAGAUAUCAUUAUUUUGAUAUUCCUAGCCAAUCACAGUAUUGAUAAUUUCGAUUGAUAGAGGAUAGCAAAACAGUAUUAUCUCCAUUUUAUACAAGUUUUUUUUGACUAUUUUGAGAGCCUAUGAAGAAUCUUCACUUGUCCAAUCUACCUGUUCAAGUUUGACUUAAUGUACCACAAGGUGGAAGGAAAAGUACUUCUUUUUAUGCAUUAUACUGGAUAUGAAAUCAAUUUUAGUUAUGGACAUACCAAUCUUAUUUAAAUGCGUGGGAAAAGUAAGGGUUUUAUAGUUUAAGUGGUUAAGAGCAUUUUUAAGAAUUUUUAAAUUUUAGUUAAAAUAGUUAGAAAGUCAUUAUAGCAAACUACUUA